AGUCUCCAGUCUGCUGAUCCGAAAGAAAGAAGGCGUUUUUGGAGGACUUAAUCAUCGCGAGUCGAGCUGCUGCUGAACCUCCCCUUCCAACAUCCAGCAGGUUUGUUCUGCAGGCCCCGAUGAUGGCACAGGCAUGAAAGAGCCCAGAGCUCGUCGCUGGGGAGAGGCUGCGUAUGGCGUUGUGAAGGGAGAGAUGGAGGAGGGGUUUGAGCAGCGCUGUGCAGGAAUGAACGGCUGGCAGGAGUCGGGCAGCGGUACUGCAGCUCCUCUGGCAGCUUUGCAGCUCAGUUGGGAAGCAGAAGAUGUGGAUGUGAAAGAAGAAGUCCGUUGCUGGGACGUUCCCCUGUUCUUCCCCCAGCUGUCCCCUUGCCUCAGCCUGGAUUCCCCUUGCGUUCCUGUAGGAUUCCCUUCCAUCCCCCUGGCUGCCCCUUGCUUUCCCCAAGGCUGCCCUUUCCUUUCUCAUGACAGCCCACCCAUCAUUCCCUCAGAGCCCCAAUAUCCCUCCCAGUGUUUCCCAGCAAGACCCCUAGAGACACCCUGUAGCCCCCCACAGAGCCCUGGAGCCCCUCAGGACCCCCUCAGACCCAGUACACCUCCCCCGUAGCUGGCCCAUACCCACAUGGAGCCCCACAGUCCCCAGCAGCACCCCAUGUCCCCCACUGGGCUUCCCCGGAAUCCUCCUAUUUCCUCCCUCAGACCUCCUUUACACCUCCAAGAUCCCCCCUGGGAACUCACUGACCCCCAUGGUCCCUUGACAGGACCCCCAUCACCAUCCCAGGGACCCCAUAGCCCACCUUUGGCCUCUCCUCCCCCUGACCUGCCUCCAGAUCCCGUACAACCUCACAGUGCUGUGGCAUGGAUGGCUUCUGCAGCUGACUUGGAUUUCUUCUGCCACUGUCCCGUGAAGGAGUUGAUUUGCUUCAGUCCAUCCCUGCUCCAUUCCUGGCUCGGGUAUCCAUCAUGGCCACGCAGCACUGCAGCAGCCAAGCUCCAAUCCCUUCCCCGGUCUCAGUGGGAUCAGUUUGUUCUGUUCUCAUCCACUUACAGAAACAGAAGCUACCAACCCACCAAACCCUGGGACAGGUAUUUCCCUACAGAAGCAUUCAUGUCCUUCUGCUGGCCCCUUUGGCCAGCUCCCAGCUCUCCAAACUGAGCCGUACGGCUGCAGCCCACCCCAUGGCUUCUCUGGGGCAGCUGUGGGGCAGCCCCACCCUGAGGAGGAGAUGCCUUUUCCUAGCAUGCAGCUGGUUCUAUGGCCACAUGGGGUGAGGACGUGGGGUCGUGGGUCACAUAGGGGUCCUGCAGGGUCACCGAGUUACAGGGUGAUGUGGGGCUAUGGGGUCAGAUGGGGUUCUGAAUCACAGUGAUAGGGUCAGAUUGGAUGGUAGGGACAGAUGGGGUGACAUGGAGUUACGGAUCACAUGGGUUGUAUGGUUGGGGUGAGGUGGGGGCAAGGAUCCCAGAUUUAUGGGCCACAUGGCGUCAGUACGCAGCAUGAUGGGGGCAGGCAGAGUCAGGGAGUCACAGGGUCAUGUGGGGGUAUGGUUCCCAUCAGGGCUGUGGGUCACGUGCAGCCAUGGGGUCACGCACAUACAGGGCGAUGAGGUCAUCUUGGGUUAUGGCUCAUGUGGGGUUACGGCUCAGGGCCCCACCUUUGGGCCACACGGACGCCCAGUCCCCUCUCAGGAUGAAAUGAAACCACUGCAAACUCUGCCCACCCCCCCCCCCCCUUUUACCUCAAACCGCUCCCCACAUCCUCCCAUACUCUCUACGUCCCCAUACUACCCCAUGCCCCUGUGUCCCACCUGCAGCCCACGUCUUGUUUUCUCCUGAACAGCGUUCUGCUCCUGCAGCCUGUGUUCCCACAUCCCUUAAUGUCCCUAUAUCCUCCAAACACACCCCCAGAGAGCCCUAUAGCUCCUCAAGGACCUUCUCAGACUCAGCACAUCUCCCCACAGACAAGCUGGGCCAUCACAGGCUUCUGCAGUCCCCAGCAGCAGCACACAUCCCCCUCUGAGCUCACAGUGAACCCCCUUGUUUUCUUCCUCAGACCUCCCUUACGCCCUCAGUCCUCUCUUGGGAUCUCAGAGUUCCACAGUCCGUGACAGGACCCCAAUACUAUCCCAGGAUCCCCAUAUCCCAUCCGACGAGGAACCCCACAGCAAAACACAUCUCUGGAUGGGGCUCCAGUGGUGCACCAAUGCAUUCAUUAAAGAGAGGAGAAUGAAUGAGCGUAAAGGGGGGCCUUUCCUCCUGACGUUGCCCACCGCCUGUGUGUUGGCUGUGCCAUGCCAGCAGCAUUUUGUCCUCGAGCUGUGAGUGCAGGUAUGCGUGCAUACGGGUGUGUGCAGAGAUGGUGCUGAACAUCAGAGCGUGCAUUGCGCUUGGCUGUGUGCACAGUGCUUGCAGGUGAAAGUUUUGCAUCUGUGUGCAUGCACAUGGCAGUGUGCAAGGCUGGAGCAGUGGUCGAGUCUUCGUGCUCGUGGGUGUGCAGAGGGAUGGGGUGCACGCAUGUGAACACAGCGCCAUGGGAGGCACUGCAAAGGAAACAGCUCCAUCCCAGCCACAACAGUGACAGGCAGGCAGGCACUGGGGAGGGCUGCUCGGCAGAGGGACGCCCUCUGAGUGCCACAACAUGGAGCGCUGUCUGCAAGCAGAACAGUGCCAGGAUGGCAGCCUGGUGGUCCUAAGCUGCAGAGAUGCUGCUCUGGACCAACAGCCUGUCAUUU
Gallus gallus (chicken) is the source of this 2729-nucleotide long non-coding RNA. RefSeq lists it as uncharacterized. Lineage: Eukaryota; Metazoa; Chordata; Aves; Galliformes; Phasianidae. The record is from RefSeq and is a predicted model, not a curated record. The transcript is spliced from 4 exons.